CGGACGGGUGAGUAACGCGUGGGUAACCUGCCCUGUACAGGGGGAGUAACAGCUGGAAACGGCUGCUAAUACCGCAUAAGCGCACGAGGAGACAUCUCCUUGUGUGAAAAACUCCGGUGAUACAGGAUGGGCCCGCGUCUGAUUAGCUGGUUGGCAGGGUAACGGCCUACCAAGGCAACGAUCAGUAGCCGGUCUGAGAGGAUGAACGGCCACAUUGGAACUGAGACACGGUCCAAACUCCUACGGGAGGCAGCAUG
This 257-nucleotide ribosomal RNA is filed under the name uncultured bacterium. RNAcentral describes it as "partial 16S ribosomal RNA". It matches the Rfam family "Bacterial small subunit ribosomal RNA", at positions 99 to 353 of the family's 1533-position model. The record is from RNAcentral.